CGGUGGAGCAUGUGGUUUAAUUCGAAGCAACGCGAAGAACCUUACCAGGCCUUGACAUGCAGAGAACUUUCCAGAGAUGGAUUGGUGCCUUCGGGAACUCUGACACAGGUGCUGCAUGGCUGCCGUCAGCUCGUGUCGUGAGAUGUUGGGUUAAGUCCCGUAACGAGCGCAACCCUUGUCCUUAGUUACCAGCACGUUAUGGUGGGCACUCUAAGGAGACUGCCGGUGACAAACCGGAGGAAGGUGGGGAUGACGUCAAGUCAUCAUGGCCCUUACGGCCUGGGCUACACACGUGCUACAAUGGUCGGUACAAAGGGUUGCCAAGCCGCGAGGUGGAGCUAAUCCCAUAAAACCGAUCGUAGUCCGGAUCGCAGUCUGCAACUCGACUGCGUGAAGUCGGAAUCGCUAGUAAUCGUGAAUCAGAAUGUCACGGUGAAUACGUUCCCGGGCCUU
RNAcentral lists this ribosomal RNA (453 nucleotides) under uncultured Pseudomonas sp. Its description in RNAcentral is "bacterial SSU rRNA". It matches the Rfam family "Bacterial small subunit ribosomal RNA", at positions 930 to 1382 of the family's 1533-position model. Lineage: Bacteria; Pseudomonadati; Pseudomonadota; Gammaproteobacteria; Pseudomonadales; Pseudomonadaceae. The record is from RNAcentral.